Molecule: ribosomal RNA, 258 nt
Filed under: uncultured bacterium
Lineage: Bacteria
Description: partial 16S ribosomal RNA
Rfam family: Bacterial small subunit ribosomal RNA
Source: RNAcentral
UCCUACGGGGCGCAGCAGUAGGGAAUCUUCCACAAUGGGCGAAAGCCUGAUGGAGCAACGCCGCGUGGGUGAAGAAGGUCUUCGGAUCGUAAAACCCUGUUGUUAGAGAAGAAAGUGCGUGAGAGUAACUGUUCACGUUUCGACGGUAUCUAACCAGAAAGCCACGGCUAACUACGUGCCAGCAGCCGCGGUAAUACGUAGGUGGCAAGCGUUAUCCGGAUUUAUUGGGCGUAAGGGGAAGGCAGGGGGCUUUUAAAG